UUUAUAUUAUAUAGUAUAAUUAUUAGGAAAGUUAUAAUAAUUUUAUGGAAAUAAAUAGUAAUAAUUAUUAUCAAUAAUUUAUCCAUAGUAUAUAUAUAUAUAAUAUAGUAUAUAUAUAUUAUAUAUAUAAUAAAUAUAUAUAAUAUACUAUAUAUUAUUAUUAUAUUAGUGAAAUAUUUUUAACAAAACAUAAGCUUAUUAAUUAUAUAAUAUAUAAUAUAUUAACAA
RNAcentral lists this non-coding RNA (228 nucleotides) under Williopsis jadinii. Lineage: Eukaryota; Fungi; Ascomycota; Saccharomycetes; Phaffomycetales; Wickerhamomycetaceae. The record is from RNAcentral.